This 4465-nucleotide unclassified non-coding RNA is filed under the name Daphnia pulicaria. Its description in RNAcentral is "uncharacterized LOC124313058, transcript variant X2". The record is from RNAcentral. Lineage: Eukaryota; Metazoa; Arthropoda; Branchiopoda; Diplostraca; Daphniidae.
GAGCGCCAUCAGAGUUCCGUGGAAUCCCAAGGAGUAAAGACGCACAUAUCAACAAGCUUUUUCUUUUCUUUUUCGCUACGUUUUUCAACCGUGUUGUGUGUGUGUAUGGAUAUUUUUCGUGUGCAUUGAAUUUAUACUUAUUUGCUAGUUGGGGUUUUGCUUCAAGUGUUGGCACCCUCAGGCGAUCGUUUUUAGUGUGUCGUCUGUUUUCGAGUCCACACAAGUUCAUCACCGGCAAUUUUCGUCUCUUUUUUUCGGGAGAAUGCGGUGAUUUGGUGAGCCGCCUGAUAUUGUCACGGCAGCCGAAAACAACGGCCACGUAGUUAGCACCCCACCCUCGACGGCCAGCCGAGACGACGGAGUGCCUUGCGUACGGCUGGCCAGCCGCCUCACUACCUUUCUCAGUUGCUCGGCCCACGUGGGCGCUUCACGUCACGUCCACUACCCCAGUCUCAACGCCUGUCUCAUCCACCAGGGCCGGCCCUCAACUUUCCAGUGUCGCACGGUCCACUUUGGUUACGCAAUUCCCGUCGUCGUGCACAGAUAUUGUCGGGCUCCCGGUGAAAUCGUCUUGGAUAGUCAUGCCCAUCUCGAUCCGGCCACUGCCUCCUAUCUGUUAGAGCAGCACCCGGAUUUAGUGGCCAUCGCCACCACCCUCCGCAGUAGCCCAGUCAAACCCGCCAGCGGACCAUCGUCCGUCAUUCAAGCCGCCAAACUGGCCGCUUUCAAGUCGGUCGAGGUGCGGACUCAUCACCGCUCCGGCUCGCAGACGCCGCUCAUCCAGACGGACGUGCCGUCGCCCAGUAAAAUGGCGGUGGAUCCCAACGAACUCUACGACCAGCUCAUGCGGCAGAACUCUGCCGAGCAGGACAUCCAGGCCAUCGCCAAACAAAUUUCCGAUCACGCCGAAGCCAUUUAUCAAACGUGGAAAUCCAAAGGAUUGACUCCCAAUGAACUGCUCCAUUUGCAUUCGGCGGAGACGGCGGCAGAGACUCCGGGCGGCGACGUGCCGGCUGCCCCAUCCUUCCGGCAAAUGAGAACAUCGGUGGAGAGACGCAGCCAUUCGACUCCGCAUGCAGAGAGACCCAAAUCCGGAUCGUCUCUCUCUCCUGUCGAACUGCUGGCCAGCCCGCAGCUGGAUGCUACCCUCGAACAACUUGUCAACAGCUUUGUGCACGAAGAUAAGGCCCGGUUAGCCGCCAGAGCGCGCACUGUAUCUCCAUCGCCGGUCGGCAUCCAUGUUGUCCAGCAUCAACCGACGUCGGCGGCGGCUUCGACCAUCCAGUCGGCCCUUAAACGUUUUGAAAUGAAGGGCCUGAAUUACGAAUCGGCUCGCAGCCGACAAAGCCAGCCGGAACCGCCAGUUGUAUCCGAGUUGGGCAGCGCAGUCAGAACGUCGCCUUCUUUCCAGGAAGCCGUACAGUCGACUCAUUUGAACCGGACAUCGCCUGGGCAGUCGCCAGUGGCAGAGCCAUCCGGGACGGUGAAAAGCCGAGCUCAAAGAUUCGCCACCCGCAUAGAACUGGCGAACGCGUCUCACGUUUCGCCCAGUUGGCCGGUCAAGCGAGCCGUUUCGCCCGGCCCAGUUCAAUAUCACAAGGUAACUGUCGUGGCCGAAGUGGCAGCUCACUCGCCAGUAGCAGCAGCAGCAGCAGCUACGGCGACGACUAAAUCGUCGUCCAGCACGAGCGAAGUUGACAAAGAAGAAGAGAAAUUAAUCAACGCCCUCAAAACCGGUCAGGUUAUUGACGAAAUCGCAGUUCCUACAUCUCCUACACCCAGCGAUAAUUUCCACCAGUCGAUGAUCAAAAAGACGAGAGAGCGACACCAACGGAACGCUCCGGCUGCUGCCCGAGUCGCUAGCAGCAGCGGCAACGCCGAGGAAGAACUGGAAUCGCUGGUGGGCCGGUUGAAGAUUAUCGAACCGCCAGUGAAAUCCUUGCCAGUCAGUCGAGAGAGCAGCCCGGGUCCCGCCAUCAUGUUGGGCGUUCGUGACGGUUCGCCUUCACGUUCCACCUCUCCGCGGUCGGUCAAACUCUCUGAAACUGUGCCCAUUGCCGGCGUGUCGACCGUCGACUACGCCAAAGUGCGCUUCCAGGCCGCUCAGGCCCAUCCGCUCACCCAGCAAAGACUGGAGGAUUCCAGGACGAUCGGCAAAGCCCAGAAUUCGCCUCAACCGAAUGUCGUCUCGGAAACCCGCAGCCGUUUCGAAGGAUCGACUCAAUCAACCCGUCCAGCCGUCAACACUUGCGCCGUACCCUGGCGAUCCGGCGUCCAGUCCAACGAAUGGUCACCCGUUCGCCCACCGGGCCCUGUCAACCUGGGCGAUGAAUUGCAAUCGGCCCUGCAGCAAUCGCAGUCGGCCGCCGGCUCUUCCGGCUUGAGUCUGGAAGCUCUUCGGCGCAUGAAGACGCGUAAAAUGCGCAAAUCGCCGGAACCGCAGCCAACGGGAUCCGGAUCUAAUACGGGCAGUCCAACUUCCUCUCCGCUGCCUCAUCCGGAAUUGACCGUCCAGCAGAAGCAGCACCUCCGCGAACGCAAUCUCCAGCAGCAGGGAUCCAGUGGUCAUCACGUUGGAUCGGUUGGAUUGGCCGUCCAGUACACUUCGACGGGCAUACCGAUCCGGCCGUUUUUGACCCGAGGUUCCGUCGCCGAAAGGGUCCUGAUUUUUGAAAAAUGUCCGACGACCAUCACGGCGACGGAUUCGUCCAGCAAAUCGGAGAAGGUGACCUCUGCCGCCAGCGCUACGACCCCCGAGAAAUCGAAACGGGCCGGCAGCCCAGCUCCGCAACCUUGGCGACACUCCAAUGAUGUCCAAACUCGAGUCCAGGGCUACACCAAGGAUAACAACAAGGAGAAUCGAUCUACAUCGACGACUAUUUCAUCACCCAGAUCGACUCUACGCCGCCAGGCUAAAGCCAACAACAAUCUCCUUUUGCCCAGAUUUUACUACCCAACGGGACGACCCAUCAGCAAAGAACAGCUGGACGCCUCCCUGCUAAGGCUGGCCGCAACGUUUCAACAGCUGCCCAACUGCCAGGCCAGUCGCGAACAUUUCGGAACCAUCGCCAAGGCUUGUGGUUGUCCUUACUACUGGAAAGCCAUUCUGUUUAUCGCCAGCGGCGGCGAAAAGCUUGGACAUGUUACGCUGGAAACCUUCACCGACUUCUGGGGAAAAAUCAUUAACAACUAUCAUGACGAAGCUUCGCGAUUCGUUCAACUCUUGACCAUGAUCAACCUGAAUGUGAGCGUCGGCAGGACGGACAACAAUCUAAACGGCUCGAUGAAUAACAGCACCGGUUCAGGCCGGUUCUAUCUGAUACCGGAGGAUUUCGUGCCGCUCGUUCAAGACGUGGUCGACACUCACCCAGGAUUGACCUUCCUGAAAGAGGCGGCUGAAUUUCAUUCGCGCUACGUUCACACGGUGAUCGCCAGGAUUUAUUACAAUGUCAACCGAUCCUGGUCAGGGCAGAUCACUCUCACCGAAUUGCGUCAUUCGAAUUUGUUGGCCACGAUUCGCUUGCUGGAGGACGAGGAGGACAUUAACCAAAUCACCGACUAUUUCAGCUACGAGCACUUUUACGUCAUCUACUGCAAGUUCUGGGAGUUGGAUAAAGAUCACGAUCUCUUUAUCGACAAGAAAGAUCUGGCCCGUCACAAUGACCACGCGCUGUCCUCCAAGAUGAUCGAUCGGAUAUUCUCUGGAGCGGUCACCCGCGGCGCCCCUCACAAUAAUCGACUGGCCAAAUUUGGCAACACCAACACCAACAUGAACAAUCAGCCGCGUAUGAGUUACACCGAGUUUGUCUGGUUCCUCAUCUCCGAGGAAGACAAGCGACACCCCACCGCCAUCGAAUACUGGUUCAGGUGUAUGGAUUUGGACGGUGACGGCUACCUUUCGAUGUACGAGCUCGAGUACUUUUACGAGGAACAGCUGCAGCGGAUGGAAUCGCUGGGCAUCGAAACGUUGCCGUUUGAAGAUUGCCUCUGUCAGAUGCUAGACAUGAUUCACCCGGCCGUGCCCGGUAAAGUCUCGCUGAACGACCUCAAGCGCUGCCAGAUGACACCCAUCUUUUUCGACACUUUCUUCAACCUGGAAAAGUACCUGGAUCACGAGCAACGCGACCCGUUCGCCUCGCAACGCGACCCCGAUUCAGAGAACGGCGACGAAAUACUCAAAAUAUCCGACUGGGAUCGCUACGCAGCCGAAGAAUACGAAUUGCUGGUGGCCGAAGAAGGCGGGCCGGAUCACGGCGAUGACAUGCUCCACGAUACAACCGUGUGAGAUACGGGAUGAUGCACACGAUGAUUCGAGUACUUGCUAGUGUUGGUCGUGAUCAGGUCGCGAGAGCGGUUCAUGCGGGAGGAAAUGACCGCCAGCGAGGAGGAUGGCGGCGAUCAUUCUUCUUUGCCCUUAUCGAUGGAACGUGACGUCAUCAUGGCCGAAUCGGAUGUGAACGACGAC